AAACUGGGUCUAAUACCGGAUAUGACCUCAGGUUGCAUGACUUGGGGUGGAAAGAUUUAUCGGUGCAGGAUGGGCCCGCGGCCUAUCAGCUUGUUGGUGGGGUAAUGGCCUACCAAGGCGACGACGGGUAGCCGACCUGAGAGGGUGACCGGCCACACUGGGACUGAGACACGGCCCAGACUCCUACGGGAGGCAGCAGUGGGGAAUAUUGCACAAUGGGCGAAAGCCUGAUGCAGCGACGCCGCGUGAGGGAUGACGGCCUUCGGGUUGUAAACCUCUUUCAGCAGGGACGAAGCGCAAGUGACGGUACCUGCAGAAGAAGCACCGGCUAACUACGUGCCAGCAGCCGCGGUAAUACGUAGGGUGCAAGCGUUGUCCGGAAUUACUGGGCGUAAAGAGUUCGUAGGCGGUUUGUCGCGUCGUUUGUGAAAACCAGCAGCUCAACUGCUG
RNAcentral lists this ribosomal RNA (450 nucleotides) under bacterium EJ10-B11-17. RNAcentral describes it as "bacterial SSU rRNA". It matches the Rfam family "Bacterial small subunit ribosomal RNA", at positions 154 to 618 of the family's 1533-position model. The record is from RNAcentral.